GCAGGCCUACGGGAGGCAGCAGUGGGGGAUAUUGCACAAUGGGGGAAACCCUGAUGCAGCGACGCCGCGUGAGCGAUGAAGUAUUUCGGUAUGGAAAGCUCUAUAAGCAGGGAAGAAAAUGACGGUACCUGACUAAGAAGCACCGGCUAACUACGUGCCUGCAGCCGCGGUAAUACGUAGGGGGGAAGCGUUAUCCGGAUUUACUGGGUGUAAAGGGAGCGUAGACGGAAGGGCAAGUCUGAGGUGA
RNAcentral lists this ribosomal RNA (247 nucleotides) under uncultured bacterium. Its description in RNAcentral is "partial 16S ribosomal RNA". It matches the Rfam family "Bacterial small subunit ribosomal RNA", at positions 333 to 597 of the family's 1533-position model. The record is from RNAcentral.